Molecule: ribosomal RNA, 399 nt
Filed under: uncultured Chrysophyceae
Lineage: Eukaryota; Chrysophyceae
Description: partial small subunit ribosomal RNA
Rfam family: Eukaryotic small subunit ribosomal RNA
Source: RNAcentral
GCUUGUCUCAAAGAUUAAGCCAUGCAUGUCUAAGUAUAAACAAAUCUAUACUGUGAAACUGCGAAUGGCUCAUUAUAUCAGUUAUAGUUUAUUUGAUGGUUCUUGCUACUUGGAUAACCGUAGUAAUUCUAGAGCUAAUACAUGCAUCAAACCCCGACUUCUGGAAGGGGUGUAUUUAUUAGAUGGAAACCAAUGCGGGGCAACCCGGUGUUGUGGUGAAUCAUGAUAACUUUGCGGAUCGCGUCCUCGUGUCGCGACGAAUCAUUCAAGUUUCUGCCCUAUCAGCUUUGGAUGGUAGGGUAUUGGCCUACCAUGGCUUUGACGGGUAACGGAGAAUUAGGGUUCGAUUCCGGAGAGGGAGCCUGAGAGAUGGCUACCACAUCCAAGGAAGGCAGCAGG